GAUGAACGCUGGCGGCGUGCCUAAUACAUGCAAGUCGAGCGAACGGACGAGAAGCUUGCUUCUCUGAUUUUAGCGGCGGACGGGUGAGUAAAACGUGGAUAACCUACCUAUAAGACUGGGAUAACUUCGUGGAACCGUAGCUAAUACCGGAUAAUAUUUUGAACCGCAUGGUUCAAAAGUGAAAGACGGUCUUGCUUUCACUUAUAGAUGGAUCCGCGCUGCAUUAGCUAGUUGGUAAGGUAACGGCUUACCAAGGCAACGAUGCAUAGCCGACCUGAGAGGGUGAUCGGCCACACUGGAACUGAGACACGGUCCAGACUCCUACGGGAGGCAGCAGUAGGGAAUCUUCCGCAAUGGGCGAAAGCCUGAUGGAGCAACGCCGCGUGAGUGAUGAAGGUCUUCGGAUCGUAAAACUCUGUUAUUAGGGAAGAACAUAUGUGUAAGUAACUGUGCACAUCUUGACGGUACCUAAACAGAAAGCCACGGCUAACUCCGUG
This 497-nucleotide ribosomal RNA is filed under the name uncultured bacterium. RNAcentral's name for it is "partial 16S ribosomal RNA". It matches the Rfam family "Bacterial small subunit ribosomal RNA", at positions 28 to 507 of the family's 1533-position model. The record is from RNAcentral.